Molecule: unclassified non-coding RNA, 354 nt
Filed under: soil metagenome
Description: partial contains 5.8S ribosomal RNA, internal transcribed spacer 2, and large subunit ribosomal RNA
Rfam family: 5.8S ribosomal RNA (bases 1-120)
Source: RNAcentral
GAUGAAGAACGUAGCGAAAUGCGAUAAGUAAUGUGAAUUGCAGAUUUCAGUGAAUCAUCGAAUCUUUGAACGCACAUGGCGCCUUCCAGUAUCCUGGGAGGCAUGCCUGUCCGAGCGUCGUUUCAACCCUCGAGCCCCCGUGGCCCGGCGUUGGGGAUCUGCCCAGGCAGUCCCCGAAAACCAGUGGCGGACCCGUUACAGGCCCUUCCCUUGCGUAGUAGCAUUCGCCUCGCAUCGGGAGCCGGCGGGCUUCCAGCCUCUAAACCCCCAUCAAGUCCGCCCCGGCGGCACCAAGGUUGACCUCGGAUCAGGUAGGAAUACCCGCUGAACUUAAGCAUAUCAAUAAGCGGAGGA